CCUUUGGGUCUCAAUGGGAAAUCGUCUGUUUUGCAGCUUUACGUUCAGCGGCGCACGUGUUACCUCAAUAGAAACAAGUUUAAGAAACUGAGUGCACGCCUGAUACCGGACCAGCUCACGGGCAUCAAUUAUAAAGUGAUCAAUUGGAAUAGACGAGGAGCAGGGCUGGACUGGUAAUCUAGCCUACCGGACAUUUUUCCGGUGGACCGACGCACUUUGGGGCCGAUCAGGGUGGACUGGCCAUCGGGAGAACCGAGCGGGCCGCUGUGUUGGCCGCGAUAAUCUAAAACGAGCCGCCGCUGAACACUCUCCCCCCAACAACUUUUGGGCCAGUUAUGUGAAAUCCCGGGCCGAUUUCUCUUUUCAGUCCAGCUCUGACAAGGAGCACAUGGAUAUUGUUGAAGUUAAACAAGUACAAGUUUGCCCAGAGUUUUCUUAAGCCGUUUGGACUGUGAUGCAGCACAUGUUUCCUUGGCAAUGAAGUGGAGGCUGAUGUUUGUGCAGCUUUCUGCAAUGCACUGAGUAUGAAGAUGUGAUUGUUGUAUGGUUCUAGGUUGAACAUGUGUGCCUCAAUUUCCUUGAAUGCAGAACCACCAUGGAGAUCCAGAACCGUUGUGGGGACAGAGAUGGGCCUUGUGAGUGUGUGCUGUUGAAGA
Molecule: long non-coding RNA, 656 nt
Organism: Xyrauchen texanus (razorback sucker)
Lineage: Eukaryota; Metazoa; Chordata; Actinopteri; Cypriniformes; Catostomidae
Exons: 4
Source: RefSeq, a predicted model, not a curated record